RNAcentral lists this ribosomal RNA (556 nucleotides) under Anaxarcha intermedia. RNAcentral's name for it is "partial 16S ribosomal RNA". It matches the Rfam family "Bacterial large subunit ribosomal RNA", at positions 1796 to 2622 of the family's 2925-position model. Lineage: Eukaryota; Metazoa; Arthropoda; Insecta; Mantodea; Hymenopodidae. The record is from RNAcentral.
UCGCCUGUUUAUCAAAAACAUGGUUUCUUGAUAUUAUUUAAGAGAUUUAACCUGCCCACUGAAUUUUUUUAAAGGGCCGCAGUAUCUUGACUGUGCAAAGGUAGCAUAAUCAUUAGUCUUUUAAUUGAAGGCUGGUAUGAAUGGUUGGAUGAGGUGAAUACUGUUUUAUAUAAAUUCAAUUGAAUUUAGAUUUUAAGUAAAAAAACUUAAAUAUAAUUAAGGGACGAGAAGACCCUAUAGAGUUUAAUAAAUGUAAUAAGUAAUUAAGUUAAUAUAUAAUUUUUAAUUAUUAUGUAAUUUAUUUAAUUGGGGUGAUUAAAAGAUAAAAUAAACUCUUUUUAAAAUUAAAUAUUAAUAAUUAGUUUUAUGAUCCAUAAUUAAUGAUUAAAAGAUUAAAUUACCUUAGGGAUAACAGCAUAAUUUUUUUUGAGAGUUCUUAUCGAAAAGAAAGAUUGUGACCUCGAUGUUGGAUUAAGAUUUAUUUUAGGUGUAGGUGCUUAAAUAUUAGGUCUGUUCGACCUUUAAAAUCUUACAUGAUCUGAGUUCAAACCGGAGA